Molecule: long non-coding RNA, 3538 nt
Organism: Passer domesticus (house sparrow)
Lineage: Eukaryota; Metazoa; Chordata; Aves; Passeriformes; Passeridae
Exons: 2
Source: RefSeq, a predicted model, not a curated record
UGAAAUUAGAGAAGGAAGAUCCAUACAAAUGUGUUGUGGUGCAGGGUUCAUUUGGUUUGUUCUGUUUCCCCCUAAAGUUAUAUUGGUUCGGUCCUGGGGUUCCCCUCCCCUCUUCCCCUGGCAACCCCUCCUUUUGAGAGUGUCAAUUUGUUGUCUCCUCCCCUGUUUCCCUGGUUACCCUCUGUCAAUCCCUCCCUGAGUUCCUGUCCAUCACCCACUGUUCCCUUCCCUCUUUCCAGAAAGUUCUCCCCUCUUCGGUGGGUGAUUGGAUCGGGUGCAGGAGUCCCUCCCUGUCACAUUUCCUAUUGGCUAGCCGGAUAAGGGGAAAACUGAGAUCCAGAAGAAAAAUCUUAGCAGUCAAGUGCCGGAGACGAAACAAAGUACUUUGCGACACCAUAGCAGUCAAGUUAUCAAGGUGGGGCACUUUUAAAAGGAAAUACGCAGCUCAAGCCAGGUACGACACCCAUGAAGGAUAUUCCUGCUGCCAAGAUGGUUUUCCCCGCUGCUGGAGGCACCCCAGUGGGCGUAGGCAGAGGCAGAAGGAUGAAACUAGGGGAAGUCCUGACGAGCCUCAGUCUAGUCAUGUGCCUCAGGAUUAGCGCACAUCCACUCAGCUUGAGAGAACAGGUCUCCAGUAAUGAGUGUGGACCGUGCAUGCGAACCAUCCUGGCCAGACGGGGUGAAGUGGAGGCUUCCACCCAGCAAGCCCUGGGAAAUUGUGAAGAAGGUAGAAGAGGCAGGUACUGUUUCUUCAACGGCACCCGAUACGGGAUAUGUAAAAUAAGUGGAAAGGAGAUUUGCUACUUGAAAGAGGCAGCAUCUAAGACUGGAGAGUCAGAGCAUGUCUGACGCAAAAGAGAGGUGAGACAAGCACCCAUCCCAGUUGGUAACAGAUGUAAUCGUAUUGUAUGGACUGGGGGUAGGAUGGAAUCGGUGUUUGUUGCAUACUUCCAGAUGAACAAACUGUGUUAUGAUAAUAACCUACUGGAAAUGUGUAUAAUGGGGGAAAAACAUACUGGGUGGGAAAGAACUUAAAAUACGGGAAUAAGUUGCCACUCAAAAAGAAGCCGGUUAUCAUUGACCUUCUCAAAGAUCAUGAUGACUGAACACGUUAACAGUAUGACAUGACUUUUUGUUUCUCUCGGAACAAAGAGGGAAUGGACCCAGAGAGUAAAAUACAACAAGUGGCCCAAGAGCUAAAAAGACAGGACGCAGAAAUGAGGGAAAAGAGGGAAAAGAGGGUGGAACAAGAAAGGCUGAGGACCUUAAGUGAACAAUAUCAUCAAUUAGAGAAACAGUGUAACGAUCUGGGGUUGCCUGCUUCGGACAAAAAUCUUUUUAUAGACUUGAUGCAGGAGAUCGUGAUGGAAUUAAGAUUGUCUAAUUGUUGGAUUUGUGGAGGACUGAAAUCAGCAGAGAAAUAACCUUGGAAAGAUGAGAGUUUAUCUCCAGAGCAGCUUCUUAAAUGGGAUAACACUAAAAUAUCUGGACUAAUACAAUGGCCAGAGGGCUGGGUUUUGAACCAACGAGUAAUUGGAACAAUUGGUAUUAGCCGGGAAGGGAGGGAGUAUACCAAAGUAGUUGGAUAUACCCCGUGUAUCUCUACUCUAGUGGUAAAUUCAAAUACUAAAAGUAAAACCUGGCAACCAGAGCCCCCACAGGGUACUGGAGCCGGGAAAAGGGAAACAAUUGUGAAUGGAGUGAUAAAAUUGAACUAUGCUGGAAUAAAGCCUCUGGAGCUAACCCUUACAAUCUCUGGAAGGAUUGAAAGGUUAUUGGAACAAACCAGGGAGCACUGCCAGUAAAUGGAAGGCCUCUAAUGGUUUAUACUGGAUCUGUGGAAAAAAGGCUUAUAGCAAAUUGCCUCAGAAAUGGAAAGGCUCCUGUACCUUAGGAAUAAUAAGACCCGUGUUCUUUACUUUACCUCGGUCAGAAAGCAGCUCGCUAGGAGCUCCUUUGUACGAAACUCUGAACAGACAAAAGAGGAAGGUAAAGAAGAAAUUUCCUAUUUUUGAGGGAAGCCAAACUUGGGGAGGGGAAGAGUGGUCCGCAGAACAAACUAUAGAAUAUUAUGAACGAGAAACCUGGGCAUAAGAUGGAAGUUGGGGUUACAGAACCCUGAUAUACCUACUAAACCAGUUAAUAAGACUCCAAGCAGUAGUGGAAAUAGUUUCAAAUCAUACUCAGACACCCUGGAAUUACUAUCUAAACAGCACUCUCAAAUGAGGGCAUUUGUGUACCAAAUCAGGAUAGCCCUAGAUUACUUAUUAGCAGAGGAAGGGGGAGUCUGCGGGAAAUUUAACGAAUCGGAAUGUUGUAGUCAUUGAAAGAGAGACCAUUAGGAGUUUGGCAGCGGAAAUAAAGAGGGUGGCUCAUGUCCCAGUCCAAAAAUGGAAUUCUAUCUUAAAUGCCUCUUGGUGGGAUAAUCUGUUUCAUGGAGCAUGGUGGAAGAAACUAAUAUUCUUCAUCCUUUGCUCAGUAACAGGAAUCAUAUUCUUACCCUGCCUGAUACCAUGUUUCAUCAGAUUAAUACAUUCAGUAGUACAAGGCAUGCAAACAGCAGCCAUGCCCAGGGACCCCGAAUGUGCCACAGAGAGGACAUACCUGGUCUCUAAAAUAAUGAAACUAGAGGAAGGAAAUCCACACAAAUGGGCAGCAGACGCCUUGGCCCAAUUUGAAAAACAAGUAAAAGGAAAUGAGAUUGGGUAUAAAAUGUAUACCCAGGAAAUACCCAGGGAGGAAUGGGAAAACGAAAAUGGGACUGAAUAAUGUUUAUGCUUAUGUUGUCUUUGUUUGAGCACAAAAUCAAUGUGUGUGAGGUAGGAUCACACACGUGGAAAAUAAAAAAAAAGGGGGGAGAGGGCUAAAAAUAAGUAUGUAUAAAUAUUUUUAGAAGAACAGCACUAAUUAAUAGAUUUAUAAAAAGAGAGGGAGGAUUGUUAUGAAUAAGGUGGUAAUUUGUGCCAGAAAUGUAAGAUUAUUAAUGUAAUAUAAAAUAAAGUCUUAAGAUCAUGCCAGAAAAGGAGAGAGGGAGAUUGCCACACAGAAUGACAAAAGCCACAACUCGCAGCUGAGGAGGAGGUGUAUCAUUAACAUACAAAGAAAAACUAGCCCGCACAGGAGAUGGGCACUCCCGAUGGUGUGAACGAGAAAACGAGAAAACGCCCAGCGAUGAUGGCCCAUGAAGAUGUUCACCUCAGAUAGACAGAACCAUCAAAGACAUACAUCUGAAUGAAGGAUUCCGGGAACUGGGGACAGAUAUACAUCAAUUCCCAGGGGAGGCUUUGUCCAGCGCAGGACAGAGAAUUGACACUGCAAGAAUAUGAAGAACUCCAAGAGGGGACAAAGGGACUCCGCCGCGGGCAAGAAAAAGUAUAAAACUCAAACUCAGCCAGGCGUCAUUGGUGAACAGGGGGAUUCAGUGUGAUAGAGGCUGGAUCAUAGUUCACCUACUCCGAUCCCAGGGUCAGGGCCGCUUUUUGAUUGGGAGAUUUUGUACAUUGGGAGAGAGUAAAUUUUAUUUUUAUUUUUGAUUUAA